This 463-nucleotide ribosomal RNA is filed under the name uncultured bacterium. Its description in RNAcentral is "bacterial SSU rRNA". It matches the Rfam family "Bacterial small subunit ribosomal RNA", at positions 30 to 482 of the family's 1533-position model. The record is from RNAcentral.
AUUGAACGCUGGCGGCAUGCCUUACACAUGCAAGUCGAACGGCAGCACGGGAGCUUGCUCCUGGUGGCGAGUGGCGAACGGGUGAGUAAUACAUCGGAACGUACCCUGAAGUGGGGGAUAACGUAGCGAAAGUUACGCUAAUACCGCAUAUUCUGUGAGCAGGAAAGAGGGGGAUCGCAAGACCUCUUGCUUUAGGAGCGGCCGAUGUCGGAUUAGCUAGUUGGUGAGGUAAAGGCUCACCAAGGCGACGAUCCGUAGCGGGUCUGAGAGGAUGAUCCGCCACACUGGGACUGAGACACGGCCCAGACUCCUACGGGAGGCAGCAGUGGGGAAUUUUGGACAAUGGGCGCAAGCCUGAUCCAGCCAUGCCGCGUGAGUGAAGAAGGCCUCGGGUUGUAAGGACUCUUUCGUCAAGGAAAGAAACUUAAUACUCCUAAUACGAGGUGAGGUUGACGGUACCUUG